Molecule: unclassified non-coding RNA, 536 nt
Filed under: Candida albicans
Lineage: Eukaryota; Fungi; Ascomycota; Pichiomycetes; Serinales; Debaryomycetaceae
Description: sequence contains 18S rRNA gene, ITS1, 5.8S rRNA gene, ITS2, 28S rRNA gene
Rfam family: 5.8S ribosomal RNA (bases 182-335)
Source: RNAcentral
GUAACAAGGUUUCCGUAGGUGAACCUGCGGAAGGAUCAUUACUGAUUUGCUUAAUUGCACCACAUGUGUUUUUCUUUGAAACAAACUUGCUUUGGCGGUGGGCCCAGCCUGCCGCCAGAGGUCUAAACUUACAACCAAUUUUUUAUCAACUUGUCACACCAGAUUAUUACUUAAUAGUCAAAACUUUCAACAACGGAUCUCUUGGUUCUCGCAUCGAUGAAGAACGCAGCGAAAUGCGAUACGUAAUAUGAAUUGCAGAUAUUCGUGAAUCAUCGAAUCUUUGAACGCACAUUGCGCCCUCUGGUAUUCCGGAGGGCAUGCCUGUUUGAGCGUCGUUUCUCCCUCAAACCGCUGGGUUUGGUGUUGAGCAAUACGACUUGGGUUUGCUUGAAAGACGGUAGUGGUAAGGCGGGAUCGCUUUGACAAUGGCUUAGGUCUAACCAAAAACAUUGCUUGCGGCGGUAACGUCUACCACGUAUAUCUUCAAACUUUGACCUCAAAUCAGGUAGGACUACCCGCUGAACCUAAGCAUAUCA